UUAGGAAUAUUGGACAAUGGGCGCAAGCCUGAUCCAGCCAUGCCGCGUGAGUGAUGAAGGCCUUCGGGUUGUAAAACUCUUUAGUCCACGAAUAUAAUGACUGUAGUGGAAGAAUAAGCCCCGGCUAACUUCGUGCCAGCAGCCGCGGUAAUACGAAGGGGGCGAGCGUUAUUCGGAAUCACUGGGCGUAAAGCGUGCGUAGGCUGUUCGGUAAGUCAGAAGUGAAAGCCCAAGGCUCAACCUUGGAAGUGCUUUUGAAACUACCGGACUAGAAUUCAGGAGAGGAUAGCGGAAUUCCCAGUGUAGCAGUGAAAUGCGUAGAUAUUGGGAGGAACACCAGUGGCGCAAGCGGCUAUCUGGACUGACAUUGACGCUGAGGCACGAAAGCGUGGGGAUCAAACAGGAUUAGAUACCCCCGUAGUCC
This 424-nucleotide ribosomal RNA is filed under the name uncultured bacterium. Its description in RNAcentral is "bacterial SSU rRNA". It matches the Rfam family "Bacterial small subunit ribosomal RNA", at positions 355 to 796 of the family's 1533-position model. The record is from RNAcentral.